GUAGGGAAUAUUGGGCAAUGGAUGCAAGUCUGACCCAGCCAUCCCGCGUGCCGGAAGAAGGCCCUCAGGGUUGUAAACGGCUUUUGACGGUGAAGAACCGACAGGAUGCGUCCUGUUUUGACGGUAGCCGUUGAAUAAGCACCGGCUAACUCCGUGCCAGCAGCCGCGGUAAUACGGAGGGUGCGAGCGUUGUCCGGAUUUAUUGGGUUUAAAGGGUGCGUAGGCUGGAAGGUCAGUCAGCGGUGAAAAGCUAUCGCUUAACGAUAGUCUUGCCGCAGAUACUUCCUUUCGUGGAUGAGGAGGAGGCCACUGGAACGGAUGGUGUAGCGGUGAAAUGCAUAGAUAUCAUCCAGAACACCGAUUGCGAAGGCAGGUGGCUGUACCUUAAUCGACGCUGAUGCACGAAAGCAUGGGGAGCAAACAGGAUUAGAAACCCGUGUAGUCC
This 445-nucleotide ribosomal RNA is filed under the name uncultured bacterium. RNAcentral's name for it is "partial 16S ribosomal RNA". It matches the Rfam family "Bacterial small subunit ribosomal RNA", at positions 354 to 796 of the family's 1533-position model. The record is from RNAcentral.